RNAcentral lists this ribosomal RNA (292 nucleotides) under uncultured bacterium. RNAcentral describes it as "partial 16S ribosomal RNA". It matches the Rfam family "Bacterial small subunit ribosomal RNA", at positions 505 to 796 of the family's 1533-position model. The record is from RNAcentral.
GUGCCAGCCGCCGCGGUAAUACGUAGGCAGCGAGCGUUGUUCGGAGUUACUGGGCGUAAAGCGUGCGUAGGCGGUGCCAUAAGUCUGUUGUGAAAUCUCCCGGCUUAACUGGGAGGGUGCGGUGGAAACUGUGGUGCUGGAGUGUGGGAGAGGUAGGCGGAAUUCCUGGUGUAGCGGUGAAAUGCGUAGAUAUCAGGAGGAACACCUGUGGUGUAGACGGCUUACUGGACCAUGACUGACGCUGAGGCACGAAAGCGUGGGGAGCAAACAGGAUUAGAAACCCCCGUAGUCC